GUGGUUUUUUCACUAAGUUUAAAUUUUUAAACGGUCGUUACGUUUAAAAUGUCGUUACGCUUAUUCGGGGAAUAAUUACGUGUCCUGUGCUUCGUCAUCAUGGAUUGUCGAAAAUUCGAAGGUUCCUCGAGGAUGAAGAAAAUCGACGAGCGGAGGAUCAUUCGGGUUUCUACUUGACGCGUUUCUGCUGUUUGACAUCGUCAGUGGUGAGUA
Molecule: long non-coding RNA, 213 nt
Organism: Cimex lectularius (bed bug)
Lineage: Eukaryota; Metazoa; Arthropoda; Insecta; Hemiptera; Cimicidae
Exons: 3
Source: RefSeq, a predicted model, not a curated record